This 261-nucleotide long non-coding RNA is filed under the name Rattus norvegicus (Norway rat). Its description in RNAcentral is "long non-coding RNA NONRATT030362". The record is from RNAcentral. Lineage: Eukaryota; Metazoa; Chordata; Mammalia; Rodentia; Muridae.
GGAGCCUUGGCCUUGGCACAGACAUGUGCUGUUCUCCUUCCUUGGAUGCCAGUCCGGAUCAUAUCUCUCCUGCAGACUUGCCUUGAUUGUUGACUUGGGGAUCCUCAAGCUCUCAGCUCACUUAGUUCUCUAAGGACAUGGCUUCCCUCAUCAGCAGAUCCAGAGCCCUCACACCAGAUGCUCUUAUUUACCUGUGAGUGGGACCAAGCCAACAACCUUAAUCCUGACUCAGAGGUGAGAAUAAACUUAAAGCUCAGAGCA